AUAAUUAUUAAGAUGAUGAGUUCAUAGUUCAACAGAAAUCCUUUGAUGACAUACUUUUAUGUCUUUCGCUCCUAACUGAGAUACUAUU
This 88-nucleotide small nucleolar RNA is filed under the name Nasonia vitripennis (jewel wasp). RNAcentral's name for it is "small nucleolar RNA snR60/Z15/Z230/Z193/J17". It matches the Rfam family "Small nucleolar RNA snR60/Z15/Z230/Z193/J17". Rfam says of the family: The members of this family belong to the C/D class of snoRNAs which contain the C (UGAUGA) and D (CUGA) box motifs. Most of the members of the box C/D family function in directing site-specific 2'-O-methylation of substrate RNAs. The family includes the yeast snoRNA snR60 (also known as Z15) and the corresponding human guide snoRNA U80 (SNORD80). The record is from RNAcentral. Lineage: Eukaryota; Metazoa; Arthropoda; Insecta; Hymenoptera; Pteromalidae.